This 206-nucleotide long non-coding RNA is filed under the name Elaeis guineensis (African oil palm). RNAcentral describes it as "long non-coding RNA (EGUI_LNC074906)". The record is from RNAcentral. Lineage: Eukaryota; Viridiplantae; Streptophyta; Magnoliopsida; Arecales; Arecaceae.
GGAUAGAGGUUAUCUUGAAGUUCUAUCAAAUAUCAAUCUAUGGAUCAAGGUUAUCUUGAAGUUCUAUCAAAUAUCGAUCUAUAGAUCGAGGUUAUCUUAAAAUUUCAUCAAAUAUCGAUCUACAGAUCGAGGUUAUCUUAAAGAUCUAUCAAAUAUCGAACUACGAAUCAAGGUUAUCUUGAAGAUCUAUCAAAAAUUGAUCUACA